RNAcentral lists this unclassified non-coding RNA (313 nucleotides) under Thelephoraceae sp. RNAcentral's name for it is "partial contains 5.8S ribosomal RNA, internal transcribed spacer 2, and large subunit ribosomal RNA". The record is from RNAcentral. Lineage: Eukaryota; Fungi; Basidiomycota; Agaricomycetes; Thelephorales; Thelephoraceae.
CGCACCUUGCGCCCCUUGGCCAUUCCUUGGGGCAUGCCUGUUUGAGUAUCAUGAACACCUCAACUCUCACGGUUUGCCGUGAUGGGCUUGGACUCUGGGGGUUUGCUGGCUCGUGUGGUCGGCUCCCCUCAAAUAAAUCAGCUUGCCAGCGUUCUGGUGGCGUCACGGGUGUGAUAACUAUCUACGCUCGUGUUUGCCUGCCAAGUAACCUUUGGUGACAAAGGUUCGUUGGGGCUUACAAACGUCUCUCCUUAGCGAAGACAGCCUUUGAAUGUUCGAUCUCAAAUCAGGUAGGACUACCCGCUGAACUUAA